GACGAACGCUGGCGGCGUGCUUAACACAUGCAAGUCGAACGAAGAGCGAUGGAAGCUUGCUUCUAUCAAUCUUAGUGGCGAACGGGUGAGUAACGCGUAAUCAACCUGCCCUUCAGAGGGGGACAACAGUUGGAAACGACUGCUAAUACCGCAUACGAUCUAGUCUCGGCAUCGAGGAUAGAUGAAAGGUGGCCUCUACAUGUAAGCUAUCACUGAAGGAGGGGAUUGCGUCUGAUUAGCUAGUUGGAGGGGUAACGGCCCACCAAGGCGAUGAUCAGUAGCCGGUCUGAGAGGAUGAACGGCCACAUUGGGACUGAGACACGGCCCAGACUCCUACGGGAGGCAGCAGUGGGGAAUCUUCCGCAAUGGACGAAAGUCUGACGGAGCAACGCCGCGUGAGUGAUGACGGCCUUCGGGUUGUAAAGCUCUGUUAAUCGGGACGAAAGGCCUUCUUGCGAAUAGUGAGAAGGAUUGACG
Molecule: ribosomal RNA, 477 nt
Filed under: Veillonella parvula
Lineage: Bacteria; Bacillati; Bacillota; Negativicutes; Veillonellales; Veillonellaceae
Description: bacterial SSU rRNA
Rfam family: Bacterial small subunit ribosomal RNA
Source: RNAcentral